GUGUCAGCCGCCGCGGUAAUACAGAGGGUGCGAGCGUUAAUCGGAGUUACUGGGCGUAAAGGGCGCGUAGGCGGCAAUUUAAGUGUGAUGUGAAAGCCCCGGGCUUAACCUGGGAAGCGCAUCGCAGACUGAGUAGCUAGAGUAUAUGAGAGGGUGUCGGAAUUUCCGGUGUAGCGGUGAAAUGCGUAGAGAUCGGAAGGAACGUCGAUGGCGAAGGCAGGCACCUGGCAUAAUACUGACGCUGAGGCGCGAAAGCGUGGGGAGCGAACAGGAUUAGAUACCCUGGUAGUCC
Molecule: ribosomal RNA, 292 nt
Filed under: uncultured bacterium
Lineage: Bacteria
Description: partial 16S ribosomal RNA
Rfam family: Bacterial small subunit ribosomal RNA
Source: RNAcentral